RNAcentral lists this long non-coding RNA (223 nucleotides) under Salvia miltiorrhiza (redroot sage). RNAcentral's name for it is "long non-coding RNA (SMIL_LNC000381)". The record is from RNAcentral. Lineage: Eukaryota; Viridiplantae; Streptophyta; Magnoliopsida; Lamiales; Lamiaceae.
GAAACUUGUAGAAGAAUUGAUGAUUUAAGAAGAUUUUGACUCGUUCUUUGACAAAAACGUGAAAAUAUAACAGUUAAGAUCUUCUAUUUCUAUUCUAAAAAAAAAAAAAAAAAAACAAUUAAGUGUUCACAACAUUUUUUCAUAUUUAAUGUUGAACUGAUCUUAAUUAAUAGUUCAUCCAUUCUGAAAAAAUAGUUCCAAUUUUCUACUCCCUCCGUCCCAC